RNAcentral lists this ribosomal RNA (493 nucleotides) under uncultured bacterium. RNAcentral describes it as "partial 16S ribosomal RNA". It matches the Rfam family "Bacterial small subunit ribosomal RNA", at positions 29 to 523 of the family's 1533-position model. The record is from RNAcentral.
AUUGAACGCUGGCGGCAUGCUUUACACAUGCAAGUCGAACGGUAACAGGUUAAGCUGACGAGUGGCGAACGGGUGAGUAAUGCAUCGGAACGUGCCCGGUCGUGGGGGAUAACGCAGCGAAAGCUGCGCUAAUACCGCAUACGAUCUGAGGAUGAAAGCGGGGGACCGUAAGGCCUCGCGCGAUCGGAGCGGCCGAUGUCAGAUUAGGUAGUUGGUGGGGUAAAGGCUCACCAAGCCAACGAUCUGUAGCUGGUCUGAGAGGACGACCAGCCACACGGGGACGGAGACACGGCCCAGACUCCGACGGGAGGCAGCAGUGGGGAAUUUUGGACAAUGGGCGAAAGCCUGAUCCAGCAAUGCCGCGUGCAGGAAGAAGGCCUUCGGGUUGUAAACUGCUUUUGUACGGAGCGAAAAGGUCUCCUCUAAUACAGGGGGCUCAUGACGGUACCGUAAGAAUAAGCACCGGCUAGCUACGUGCCAGCAGCCGCCGUAA